Molecule: transfer RNA, 56 nt
Filed under: Euphaedusa planostriata
Lineage: Eukaryota; Metazoa; Mollusca; Gastropoda; Stylommatophora; Clausiliidae
Description: tRNA-Leu
Source: RNAcentral
AGAUGGCAGAAUAUAAUGCAUUGGCUUUAAGCGCUAAUUAUGGUUACUUUACCUUU